AGCUCCAAUAGCGUAUAUUAAAGUUGUUGCAGUUAAAAAGCUCGUAGUUGGAUUUCGGAGCCGACCGGGCGGUCUGUCGAGAGACACGCACUGCACGGUGGCUCUUCCUCUCGGAGGCCCUGGCUGCCCUUAACUGGAGCGGGCAGGGGAUUCGGGACGUUUACUUUGAAAAAAUUAGAGUGUUCAAAGCAGGCUUAGGCCGUUGGAUAUAUUAGCAUGGAAUAAUGAGAUAAGGCCGCGGUGGUCUUUUCUGUUGGUUUGCCACACGCCGCAAUGGUAAAAAGGAACAGUUGGGGGUAUUCGUAUUCAACUGUCAGAGGUGAAAUUCUUGGAUUUGUGGAAGACGAACUACUGCGAAAGCAUUUACCAAGGAUGUUUUCAUUAAUCAAGAACGAAAGUA
This 400-nucleotide ribosomal RNA is filed under the name phytoplankton environmental sample. RNAcentral's name for it is "partial small subunit ribosomal RNA". It matches the Rfam family "Eukaryotic small subunit ribosomal RNA", at positions 587 to 991 of the family's 1831-position model. The record is from RNAcentral.